AUGGAUGGAGGCGGCAUUAAUGGCGUGUGGCUGUGUGGGUGGAUGCAUGGAGGCGGGCCGUACGGGCAGCAGGUGACGCGGGGGCAGGACCUCACCUGGAAGGACUUCAGCGGCCAGACGCUCAUCAAGAAGGACUUCAAGACCGGACCUAACUACUCUCCCCUUCUCUUUCCAUCGAUUCCUACAAUUGUUUCACUCGUGAUGAUGUGA
RNAcentral lists this ribosomal RNA (210 nucleotides) under Triticum aestivum (bread wheat). RNAcentral's name for it is "partial small subunit ribosomal RNA". Lineage: Eukaryota; Viridiplantae; Streptophyta; Magnoliopsida; Poales; Poaceae. The record is from RNAcentral.